CACAGGAAUAUCAUCACAUUUGUUGUGUGCUGCCACAUACACACGCAUCACUUUAUCCAGUAAUAGCCACAGGCAUGUAUGGUAAAAGGGAGGCUAUGCUUUUUUCAUUUAUUUUUUUGCUGAUUGGUUGUGAUCAAAUGUUCACAAGACCAGAGGAGGUUUAAAAGGGGAGAUUUCUAGACGUCUGUCAGAAGCGUCAACAUCAGCUAAUACUGCUUUCCUCCAGACGAACACAGCAACAUUUACAGUACAGAGGCCGGCUGAUCAGAGCAGACAAGAUGAACAUCGUUCUGCUGAUCGCCGUUGUGCUCACUCUUUCCGUUGUUGAUGGGAACAAUCAGCCUUGUCUGUGGAACCCUGACAACAAUGCGUACAACAAAUUUGUUCAGAGACACAUCAUCCAAGAACCCUUUGACAGAUCAUCAUGGCUUGACUGGCAAAACUACAUAUGGAAGUACGGACUCAGCCACAGACCCAGGCAGUCCUUCAUCGAGGGCUGGGAUGUGGGAAGUGUCGCGUACAUCUGCAAUGGCGGUGGCUACCCCAUUUUGCCUCCUCAACCAGGUAACUUAUGCAUGAGCUCCUUUCGCUUGCUGGUGUAUGAUCUCACAGUCGACAACAACGGCAGAGUUACAAGUCUCAUGCAAAACGUACAACAUGUGAUCGUGGCUUGUGAUGUGGUUGUCAAUCAGUGCCUUCCUGUCCAUUUUGAGAGGUACUUCAACCAAAUGCCAGACUGGACAGCUGGACCCUGCAUGCCUGCAUGAGAAACCGCUUAGAACAGGCAAAAUCUAGCUAAAGCUUUUUUUACUUUUAACUGAUUUGUUUCUUAAAACUUAUCGUCACCUUACCUCAAAGUUUAGAGUUCAGUUGUGUAUAUAAAACUGUUUGGUGUCCUUUUUCCUGAUGAGUUCAAUUCAUACUAUUGUCUACUAUGUUGGGUUUUGGUCUCCACACCUCAUGACUAACGUUCGCUAUUUUAUGUCAAGAUGACGUUGGCAUGAGACUUUUGGAAGAUUUGCGUUACUUAACGACACACCUUGAAACCAACCAAAUAUCAACGCCACCUGUCCUCAGUAUUCUACAUGAAAUUGUCCUGACAUUGAAUUUUGGUCACCUGACAUCACAACCUAAAUUCAUUCAAAUAUCAACAUCUAACAACAUCAGUGUCCAGAGGGGUGUUCCAGGUAGGAGGUUCAACAAACUCUGAGUGUAACCCUGAACUCUGAGUUGAUUUACCCUGAGAUGGGAAACUCUGAGUUACGGGUUCCAGAACAGCUGAUUUGAGUUAGUUCAGUCAACUCUGAGUAUGUUCACUCUGAGCUAAGCCGACAAUAAAAAGCCAUCAGUAGCAGACGGUGCACGUUUAUCUUUAAAAGAAGAGCCUGAGUCAGAGCGAGGAAAGUGUAAAUAAGUUAACCAUAAAGUUAAUAAAAAAGUUUAUUCAUCAUUUAUCAGACUUACAUUUCCUUAAUGAAGCUAAAGUGGUGGAAUCUGACUGUGUAUCAGGCUGUAGAUACAUUACAUUAUAUUAAUAAUAUAUAAUAAUAUAUUUGUUCAGAUAUAAUCUGAUGGGGAAAAACACAGGAGGCAGAAGAUUUAAAACAUAUAGGCUAGGCUAUAGAUCAAAGACAUAAAGACAUGACUGUAAACUCACAGUCUGACCCAGUAAUAAUAUGUUUGGUGAUUUGCACUUGAAAAGACGUUGAGGUUAAAAUACAGUAGAUUUGAAAAUGUUGCAUAUCUAUUUGUUUCUUGACUCAACAGCAUUCAGUGACUUUAUUUCAGCUACAAAUGUAGUAAACUUAAAGACACUGAAAUGCUGCACCAUUGCUCACUCAGAAAUAUUAACACAUAAUCCCCAAUAUUAGGCUAUAGGAAUUAUGUUCCAUCAGUCCAACCAAUGACGUCAGUGAUAGAGAUCAUUAGUCAUUGAUACUACGUGUCUAAAGCUUCAUACUGAUUUUUAAAAUUUAAAUAAUUAGACCUACACAUUAUGAGCAAUAAACAUUUGGGAGCUGCUCUAACAGACUGACAGUCUGAUCCUUGUGCAGUGUUAUAAAAAAUAAUAAAUAUAAAAAGGACAGAGGUUUGAUUCUGAGCUGAGGGUGAAUUCUCGCUGUGUAAUAUUUGAAUGGAAAGACAAAAACUGAUGUCCAAAGAAGUGAUUGAUGUGCAUAAAUUCAGUAGCCUAACGUAAGACAGUCCUGAGAAACAAACUAAUAUCCAGCAGGAUUUAGACUGUGACAGACGGUAAAUCUCUGCUAAUUAAUGCGCUUCGAUACAAGCUUUGACACGGACUGAAUGAAUGAGGAAAUGAAACAGCGUGUAAGAGGGAGGAGACAGAGGAAAACUCAGGGUUUAUUGAAGAAAACCUGUCAGCGAGCAGGUUAUGUUCACAGAGUCUGUUACCAUGGUGACUGACUCAGAGUUUCAGUUACCUCUCUUUCUGGAACGGAUAACUCAGAGUUUCCCUCAUCUCAGGAUUAACUUACUCUGAGUUUUCACAUAACCCGCUUUCUGGAAUACCCCUCAGCUGAGGUUGGUGUAAAUGCCCUUCAUUUUGUCAAAAUAAAAGUCCUCCGCUACUUUAAUGUUUUUAUUGGCAAAUGCACAUGGUUUAAAUAUUAAUGGACACAUGUCACCUGUCAAUAUCUACACCUGUGUUAAACUGUUUGGUAUCCUUUUUCAUGAUGAGGUCAAUUCUAUCACUCUGUAUAAUCCUCUUAUUGUGAAACUAAUGUUCUCUACAUAUGUAUGUGUGUGUAUCUAUUCAUCUAUUCUCCAUGACAGGAUCUGUUGUGAAGCUGUAUUAGAAUCCUGUUUGUUUUGCUUUUGUUUAUAAUCAAAUAAAUGGCUUACAGCUGCAUCAAUCAA
Long non-coding RNA from Epinephelus fuscoguttatus (brown-marbled grouper), 2877 nucleotides. RefSeq lists it as uncharacterized. The record is from RefSeq and is a predicted model, not a curated record. NCBI's taxonomy places the organism in Eukaryota, Metazoa, Chordata, Actinopteri, Perciformes, Serranidae. The transcript has 3 exons.